Molecule: ribosomal RNA, 119 nt
Filed under: Pteropus alecto (black flying fox)
Lineage: Eukaryota; Metazoa; Chordata; Mammalia; Chiroptera; Pteropodidae
Source: RNAcentral
GUCUACGGCCAUGCUACCCUGAACAAGCCCAAUCCUGUCUGAUCUUGGAAGCUAAGCAGGGUUGGGCCUGGUUGGUACUUGAAUGGGAGACCAUCUAGGAAGACCGGGUGCUGUAGGCA